GACGAACGCUGGCGGCGUGCUUAACACAUGCAAGUCGAACGGAAAGGCCCUGCUUGCAGGGUACUCGAGUGGCGAACGGGUGAGUAACACGUGGGUGAUCUGCCCUGCACUUCGGGAUAAGCCUGGGAAACUGGGUCUAAUACCGGAUAGGAGCCAUUUUUAGUGUGAUGGUUGGAAAGUUUUUUUCGGUGUAGGAUGAGCUCGCGGCCUAUCAGCUUGUUGGUGGGGUAAUGGCCUACCAAGGCGGCGACGGGUAGCCGGCCUGAGAGGGUGGACGGCCACAGUGGGACAUAGAGACGGCCCGGGCGCCCGCGGGGGGCAGGAGGGGGGAAGGUUGCACGAUGGGCGCAAGGCUGAUGCAGCGGCUCCGCGGGGGGGAUGACUUCCUUCGGGUUGUAAAAUCAUUUAGCGAGGGACGAAGCUUUUUGUGACGGUACCUAGAUAAGAAGCACCGGCUAACUACGUG
Molecule: ribosomal RNA, 466 nt
Filed under: uncultured bacterium
Lineage: Bacteria
Description: partial 16S ribosomal RNA
Rfam family: Bacterial small subunit ribosomal RNA
Source: RNAcentral